This 75-nucleotide transfer RNA is filed under the name Schistocerca americana (American grasshopper). Its description in RNAcentral is "tRNA-Thr". It matches the Rfam family "tRNA". From Rfam's summary of the family: Transfer RNA (tRNA) molecules are approximately 80 nucleotides in length. Their secondary structure includes four short double-helical elements and three loops (D, anti-codon, and T loops). The record is from RNAcentral. Lineage: Eukaryota; Metazoa; Arthropoda; Insecta; Orthoptera; Acrididae. RNAcentral also lists the same sequence under 1 other name.
GCCCUCGAUGGCUCAGAUGGGCAGAGCAUCUGCCAUGUAAGCUGGAGAUCCCGGGUUCGAAUCCUGGUCGGGGCA